RNAcentral lists this long non-coding RNA (953 nucleotides) under Chinchilla lanigera (long-tailed chinchilla). RNAcentral describes it as "lncRNA (ENSCLAG00000023718.1)". Lineage: Eukaryota; Metazoa; Chordata; Mammalia; Rodentia; Chinchillidae. The record is from RNAcentral.
CAAAAGUGAAAGAAUCAGUUCAAGGAAGGUGGUGGAGCCUGGUGGGCAGGGACCAGGGAGGAAGUACAGGCAGGUCUUGUGACAGUGGGCUGAACGGGGGUGGCAGGACCUGGGGGUCCCCGUCUGAUCCCCUUCUCACCUUGCUGGGGGUGGGUGGCACCUGGGAGCGCCCACCUGGGAACUUCUUAAACCCUCAUUAUGGUGGCUGGUGUUGAACUCACAAGCUUCCCUCAAGAGCUACGAUGGAUCAAUGCCCAUGUUCACAUCUGGAGAAGUUCAACAGCCCAUCAGCAGCCACAGGGAAGGUGUUUUUGAAGGAAUCACUAGGGGCACGGAAUAAUGAAGUGAAAAUAAAGAAGCUGUUAAAUCACUCAACCAUGAAUCAAGAUGGUCCAUCAGAGAAUGAGCUCCAUCCUCUCUGUGGGCAGCCCGCAUUAAACCAAAGAAUUGUUUAGAUAUGAAGGGUUUUGUUUGGUCAGUUAUCAAGCCUAAGAGAGUUCCUAGUUACACUGAAUCAUGUAAAAUGAUGAAGAUUAUCAUCUGGUGCUGCUUGCAAUGGAAAGAAACCAUUCAUAAAUUCUUCCUGUUAGCCAACCAAGGAGAACAGUAACUGCCUUGGCUUCCUAGUAAUAAUUUUGCUUUAUGUCUUUUGUGUUAACGUUCUGGAAAAAUAGUCAGUCUUACCAGACUACAUAAACUAACCCCAAACAUCACUGACACAUUUGGGCUGAAUGAUAUUCAGAACCUACUCCAUCCUGAGAUGCCAUCCCCGUGCUCCGGACAGUGGGAACACUCGUAACAGCUACUUAACUCAGAAGUUGACAGGUCGCGACCGGGUCUCAGCCACUGAAAUGAUGUCACUGUACUUGGUGAGGCCUUGAGGAAUUCUGUGUCCCAUUUCUCUGGUUCUUUUGUGCCAGGGUCAUCUGGGGGUGCUGCACCCUGUAUUCCCU